RNAcentral lists this long non-coding RNA (272 nucleotides) under Mytilus galloprovincialis (Mediterranean mussel). The record is from RNAcentral. Lineage: Eukaryota; Metazoa; Mollusca; Bivalvia; Mytilida; Mytilidae.
GGAAUAUUACAAAAUUCUUGGACAUGUCUUGACCAUUUAAUACCAGAUAGAUAUUUAGUUCUUUGGGAAAACAUAAGCCCUUUUGUAUUAAAAAGUUUUUUUUACAAAAAAAUAUAUUAUAACUUAUAUUGACCCCUCAUAUAAGGGAUAUUUAUAACAUUAAGGGAUUGUUUUAAACCUGAUUAUGACUUGGAUGGAGAAUUGUCUCAUUGUCAGUCACACAUACAUAGACCAGAUUUAAUUAUUCAAUUAUUUCUUAGUGAACAGGGAAA